GACGAACCGUACAAACGUUAUUCGGAAUCACUGGGCUUAAAGGGUGCGUAGGCGGCGGUGCAAGUUGGGUGUGAAAUCCCUCGGCUCAACCGAGGAACUGCGCUCAAAACUGCAUUGCUUGAGGGAGAUAGAGGUGAGUGGAACUUAGGGUGGAGCGGUGAAAUGCGUUGAUAUCCUAAGGAACACCAGUGGCGAAAGCGACUCACUGGGUCUCCACUGACGCUGAGGCACGAAAGCUAGGGUAGCGAACGGG
RNAcentral lists this ribosomal RNA (253 nucleotides) under uncultured bacterium. RNAcentral describes it as "partial 16S ribosomal RNA". It matches the Rfam family "Bacterial small subunit ribosomal RNA", at positions 524 to 776 of the family's 1533-position model. The record is from RNAcentral.